This 91-nucleotide transfer RNA is filed under the name Pelomonas sp. Root1237. Its description in RNAcentral is "tRNA-Ser". It matches the Rfam family "tRNA". From Rfam's summary of the family: Transfer RNA (tRNA) molecules are approximately 80 nucleotides in length. Their secondary structure includes four short double-helical elements and three loops (D, anti-codon, and T loops). The record is from RNAcentral. Lineage: Bacteria; Pseudomonadati; Pseudomonadota; Betaproteobacteria; Burkholderiales; Sphaerotilaceae.
GGAGCGCUGGCGGAGCGGUCGAACGCGCCAGGCUUGAACCCCGGAAUCCGGCUCGCCCGGGUCGUCCGUUCGAAUCGGACGCGCUCCCCCA